AGUCGAACGGCAGCGCGGGGCAACCUGGCGGCGAGUGGCGAACGGGUGAGUAAUAUAUCGGAACGUACCCAAGAGUGGGGGAUAACGUAGCGAAAGUUACGCUAAUACCGCAUACGAUCUAAGGAUGAAAGCAGGGGAUCUUCGGACCUUGUGCUCCUGGAGCGGCCGAUAUCUGAUUAGCUAGUUGGUGAGGUAAAGGCUCACCAAGGCCACGAUCAGUAGCUGGUCUGAGAGGACGACCAGCCACACUGGAACUGAGACACGGUCCAGACUCUUACGGGAGGCAGCAGUGGGGAAUUUUGGACAAUGGGCGAAAGCCUGAUCCAGCAAUGCCGCGUGAGUGAAGAAGGCCUUCGGGUUGUAAAGCUCUUUUGUCAGGGAAGAAACGGUGGAGGCUAAUAUCCUUCGCUAAUGACGGUACCUGAAGAAUAAGCACCGGCUAACUACGUGCCAGCAGCCGCGGUAAUACGUAGGGUGCAAGCGUUAAUCGGAAUUACUGGGCGUAAAGCGUGCGCAGGCGGUUUUGUAAGUCUGACGUGAAAUCCCCGGGCUCAACCUGGGAAUUGCGUUGGAGACUGCAAGGCUAGAAUCUGGCAGAGGGGGGUAGAAUUCCACGUGUAGCAGUGAAAUGCGUAGAGAUGUGGAGGAACACCGAUGGCGAAGGCAGCCCCCUGGGUCAAGAUUGACGCUCAUGCACGAAAGCGUGGGGAGCAAACAGGAUUAGAUACCCUGGUAGUCCACGCCCUAAACGAUGUCUACUAGUUGUCGGGUUUUAAUUAACUUGGUAACGCAGCUAACGCGUGAAGUAGACCGCCUGGGGAGUACGGUCGCAAGAUUAAAACUCAAAGGAAUUGAC
RNAcentral lists this ribosomal RNA (856 nucleotides) under uncultured bacterium. RNAcentral's name for it is "bacterial SSU rRNA". It matches the Rfam family "Bacterial small subunit ribosomal RNA", at positions 60 to 914 of the family's 1533-position model. The record is from RNAcentral.